RNAcentral lists this unclassified non-coding RNA (225 nucleotides) under Corynespora torulosa. RNAcentral's name for it is "partial internal transcribed spacer region". The stretch from base 1 to 46 matches the Rfam family "Eukaryotic small subunit ribosomal RNA", at positions 1786 to 1831 of the family's 1831-position model. Lineage: Eukaryota; Fungi; Ascomycota; Dothideomycetes; Pleosporales; Corynesporascaceae. The record is from RNAcentral.
AAGUCGUAACAAGGUUUCCGUAGGUGAACCUGCGGAAGGAUCAUUAUCGUAGGGGCCUCGCCCCCUUCGAGAUAGCACCCUUUGUUUAUGAGCACCUCUCGUUUCCUCGGCAGGCUCGCCUGCCAACGGGGACCCACCACAAACCCAUUGUAGUACAAGAAGUACACGUCUGAACAAAACAAAACAAACUAUUUACAACUUUCAACAACGGAUCUCUUGGUUCUG